UCUCACGGGCGUCUCUUGAGUUACUGCA
RNAcentral lists this non-coding RNA (28 nucleotides) under Mus musculus (house mouse). The record is from RNAcentral. Lineage: Eukaryota; Metazoa; Chordata; Mammalia; Rodentia; Muridae.